Maylandia zebra (zebra mbuna) is the source of this 761-nucleotide RNA transcript. It is a transcript of the gene named lens epithelial protein, with no coding region annotated. Lineage: Eukaryota; Metazoa; Chordata; Actinopteri; Cichliformes; Cichlidae. The record is from RefSeq and is a predicted model, not a curated record.
UCAGUCAGCGGGCGUUUGAAACUAGAGGACAGUCCAGAAAAUGCCAGAUGUGGGUGGAGAGCGCUUGCAGUUUGUAUAGGAGGUUAUAAGUAGAGGAGUGAACAGUGCCGGGAAUACGGAGCAGAGCUCAGCUGUUGCAUGGGUCUCAUCUGACUCCAUUUGUCACAGCUCAUCUUCCAGUUCUUCUCAUCGACUGCCCUCCUCGUUGCAUUUGUCUGGUCCCUCUGCACAGCCAUGCACCCCCAGCGUCCUCUUCCCCAGGCCAUGCCUUCCGCCUCUCUGGGACAGCACCUGCGGGACAUGGCCAUGGGCCUGGGACGAGGCAAGAACUUCCUGGGAGGAAACUUUGCCUACAGUUUUAUCCAGUCGGUUAAAGAAUGCCUCUAUUUCCUCCUCUGCUGCUGGUGCAUCAAAGAGAUCCUGGACUGACAGACUGAGAGAAAAGGGUACAUCAAGUGGUAGAGCACAGAUUUUUCCUUGUUUCUCCACUGGGUCCUGUAUUGUAAUUUCAACCAGCUUUUAUUUCAUCAGAAAUGGGAGUGUUAUAUGGUAAAGCCUUGGCAGGAAGGGAGGUCUUUUGGGGUUCGAGGAAGCUUGCCAGCAGGUUUCAAGAUGAUACAGACUUUAUAUCCGGACUGGGUUAGAGUUUUCUGAAUUGUACCCUGAUGAUCUGAGAUUCCCAGGACUGUGGCUCACCUGAUGUUCACUGUACAACACAAAGUGGUGUGGCAAUAAAUAAAGGAACUCAUAAACAGAAAAAA